This 805-nucleotide unclassified non-coding RNA is filed under the name Zea mays. RNAcentral describes it as "misc RNA Zm00001eb175800". The record is from RNAcentral. Lineage: Eukaryota; Viridiplantae; Streptophyta; Magnoliopsida; Poales; Poaceae.
CGGACAAAGGACAAGUGUCGGAGCUGUCAACUCAUCGCGUGAUCGGGUGACGACAACGAACAGCCGAGCGUGGUAAAGAGAUGGAGGACGACGAUGGGCCCAAGCAGAGAAGCUCGUGCGUGCACAGGGAAGAACUCACGGCCACCAGCAAGCAAAUCGACGCCAACGAGGGAGCUAGGACGCGGGCGUAGAACACAGAAGUGGGAGGUGCGGUCUGAGGACAAGCGUAGGACUUCGCGGUGAUCUGGGCGAUGGGGACCUGCUCUUCUUCCGCGACGCCACCGUUGAGCGUGUCCGUCACGGCUGCGGCCAUGGGGGAGGGACGCCGAGGGAGGAGCGCAGCAGGGAGCAAGGCGAGGCCGCGGCUGGGCGAGCUCCAUGGCGCGGAUAGAGAGGGACUCGGCGAGCUGGAGCUGGAGGUCGAGGGACGCCAUGGGGAAGCCGCGCGGGCACUUACUGGCGAGUGGCGACAUGGACAUACCAGGUAGGCGUGACACAAGGAAGGAAAGGCAGGGGCGAGCGCUAGGGAGGAGAGAGGCUGGGACACGUAUGAGCGCGGCACACAAGGAAGAUCUACUGCUGGGGAGGAGCGACCGAGCAGAGGAGGACCAGGGACGGGACACCGAGGGAGCUCGGCAUGGGCGCGGCUGGGGAAGACGGCGUGAGCUGGAGCAAGAUGCAGGGACACGGCCGAGUCCGCGCGGAGCUGCAAAACCGCGCCGGAUGGAUGGUAUGAUGGCCGGAGGACGAGCGCCAUGGGAGAUGGGGCGCUGGCCAGCAGAGCACCGGAAGAGAAAGGAGCAGG